RNAcentral lists this unclassified non-coding RNA (1710 nucleotides) under Hevea brasiliensis (rubber tree). Lineage: Eukaryota; Viridiplantae; Streptophyta; Magnoliopsida; Malpighiales; Euphorbiaceae. The record is from RNAcentral.
UUUUCACUUCCUAAAACCUAGAUGAUAAUUGCUACUUGUUCGUUUCUGUGAGAAGAAAUUAUUUAUAUCAUAAUACAAAAUGUCAUAGCCAUCGCUCUUCAUCUUGGAAAGCAGAAACUGCGAAGCAAUUGUACACGCUAUAAUAUGCAGAAGGCUUGAAAUCUAUUGUGGCGUUAACCCAGAUCAGAUAGUUAACACACUAACAACUACACAAGGCAAAACAGUUGCGUAUAAGAAUAUAUUGCAAGAUACAAGGAAAUACCUUUAAAAAGCUGAGGUUUUUAAAAGCAAAUAUAUUCAGUAUGCACCUAUCCUCUGAAGAAGCCAGUGAUACACAAAAUUUCGUAUUAACUUUCCUCUUGAUAAGCGAGUUCUGGAGGAUUUCCAUGGUAAUUGAUUAAAAUAAUAUGGGAAGCUUUGAGGUGCGGAUAUGAAAACAUAUUUACCAUACCUCGGAAAGAGAAGUACUUGUGAUUUUGGAGUUAACUUACUGAUUCGCAGGCCUACGCACCCCUUGAAAUUUUCACGAAUCAAGUGAUAGUUGGUCACCUCUGUAAUCAAUGCAAUGGUAUCAAUUUCAUUUUUCUUCUUCAUCCUCUGCUCCCUUAUUUCUUUUGUUUUUAAUCCAAGCAAAGCUGCAUUUUAAAGCUCUAUUAUGAGAUAAUAAUUUUCUUGUGGGAACAGAAGUUAAACCUACCUCCUUUCAAGUUUGAAAUUCCAAAUACAAAACAAUAAAACUACAAACCUCAGACUAAUUAAACCACAAUGCCUUAUCGGCAGAUUCGCCCCAAAUGGCGUAUGACACUAGCCUGGAAAAAUCUUCGUUGACAAUUAAAAAUAAUUGUUAUUGACCUUGCAAAGUGGAGCUCUUUCUCAAAUUUGUAUUUGGCUAAAUCUUAAGCGAAAGUUGUUAAGUACAUAACUACAAUCAAAGGCAUUGGAUCAGGUAUCAAUGAUGAAUGGAUAAUUUAACUGCAUAAAUAUCUCCCAUUAAUACUAUCUCAUGUCGUCAAGAGUACCAUUUAUUCAAAAGUUCCAAGAGGAGAACUGCAGCAGAGUCCUUGGCCUUUUUGACGCUUGGCAUUGGCUCUCCCACACAUUCAUCAGUCCAUCCCCUAUCAUUAGUAUUCACACGAACUGCAAACGUAAACCUUUUUGCAUGUGCAGGGCCACCCUCGUUCACACACCUAUAAAAGGGCAUAGGCCAAUUUAUUCGCAAGCAAAUAUCAUUCAAGAUUUGCCCGGCAAAUUUUUGGUUGCCAUUUUUCUUCUUCUUCCCAUUCUCAUCACCUUUGUCUUUAGCUUCAGCUGUUUCCUUCUCUUUCAAAACAGCAGGCGCAUAACUAGCAGCAAGUUUCUGUGCCAUCUUCUUUUGUGGAUUCUGAGCAAAUCCUACCUGGAUACCAUCAAUAAAAACUUCAACGGAAGCCAGAUUGCCACUUCGUGAGGCCUUGUUUUCCAAGCCUUCAGCCUGUUGCUGGCAACAUUCCUGCAGCUCCCUCACAGGAUGCAUUGGGAGUGUUUCUGGAGUGACCAUUGGAUGCAACAGAGGUUGAAAACCCAGGGACAAGGGGAUUGCAAGAAAAUAACAUUAUCGUCAAAUAUCCUUGAUUGUAAAACAGUAGGAGAGUAGGACAAAAAGGGUUGGGGAUGGUGGGGUGGGUUUUUUGCCCCCCCGGGUGUCAUGGGGCCACUUCCUAGCUCGGACAG